This 82-nucleotide transfer RNA is filed under the name Ramalina farinacea. It matches the Rfam family "tRNA". From Rfam's summary of the family: Transfer RNA (tRNA) molecules are approximately 80 nucleotides in length. Their secondary structure includes four short double-helical elements and three loops (D, anti-codon, and T loops). Lineage: Eukaryota; Fungi; Ascomycota; Lecanoromycetes; Lecanorales; Ramalinaceae. The record is from Rfam by way of RNAcentral.
UCUUUGGUGGUUUAGUGGUUAGAAUUUCCGCUUGUCAUUUGGCAAUGCGCGGGAGACCGGGGUUCGAUUCCCCGCCAGAGAG